GCUGGCGGCGNGUCCAACCAUGGAGGAAAAACGCUCUUGCGCAAGUGAGAGAGUGGCGGACGGGUGAUUAACACGUGGGUCAUCUACCUUGAGGUGAGGAAUACCAGCGAGAAAUCGCUGACAAUACCGCAUACGUUUGUUCCAACAAACAAAGUCGUAAGACGCCACAAGAUGAGCCUGCGCCCGAUUAGCCAGUUGGUGAGGUAACGGCUUACCAAAGCGACGAUCGGUAGCUGGUCUGAGAGGAUGGUCAGCCACACUGGAACUGAGACACGGCCCAGACUCCUACGGGAGGCAGCAGUGGG
This 305-nucleotide ribosomal RNA is filed under the name uncultured Ktedonobacterales bacterium. Its description in RNAcentral is "bacterial SSU rRNA". It matches the Rfam family "Bacterial small subunit ribosomal RNA", at positions 35 to 358 of the family's 1533-position model. Lineage: Bacteria; Bacillati; Chloroflexota; Ktedonobacteria; Ktedonobacterales. The record is from RNAcentral.